This 486-nucleotide ribosomal RNA is filed under the name uncultured bacterium. Its description in RNAcentral is "bacterial SSU rRNA". It matches the Rfam family "Bacterial small subunit ribosomal RNA", at positions 417 to 917 of the family's 1533-position model. The record is from RNAcentral.
UUCGGGUUGUAAACCACUGUCGGGAGGGACGAAGAUCUGACGGUACCUCCAAAGGAAGCACCGGCUAACUCUGUGCCAGCAGCCGCGGUAAUACAGAGGGUGCGAGCGUUGUCCGGAAUUACUGGGCGUAAAGGGCGCGUAGGCGGCCUGAUAAGUAGGGGGUGAAAUUCCGUGGCUCAACCACGGAACUGCCUUCUAAACUGCCAGGCUUGAGCACGGUAGAGGCAGAUGGAAUUCCCGGUGUAGCGGUGGAAUGCGUAGAGAUCGGGAAGAACACCAGUGGCGAAGGCGGUCUGCUGGGCCGUUGCUGACGCUGAUGCGCGACAGCGUGGGGAGCAAACAGGAUUAGAUACCCUGGUAGUCCACGCCGUAAACGAUGGGCACUAGGCGUCGGGGGGAGCGACCCUCCCGGUGCCGUAGCUAACGCUCUAAGUGCCCCGCCUGGGGAGUACGGCCGCAAGGCUGAAACUCAAAUGAAUUGACGGA